AGCCUUAGACCAGAACCUCUUUUCUUUAUAAGAAGAAUUCCAGGUAACUCAGACACACCUCUCUGACCUAUAAAACUGCAAUGGAACAUCUUGGGAAAACAUCACAUCAGUUUUGUGAAGAACUUUGAACCAGGACUAAAUACCAGGGCGUCCUCCAUUCUCCUUCCAAUUUGGCAACAACCCUGGAAACCAUUGGUGAAGAAAGAAGCCACAGCUGGAGGGAGCCUGGAUCCUUGAAACACCAGCUGAAGAGAUACUUAUUGAUCAGAGACACCUGUAUUGAAGUUCAUCCAGAACAUCCUUAAUCACAGGGUUCAAUCUUUCAGAGGUAAUUAUUUUUCUAAAUCCUUUCAGCAGUUGGCCAACAUUUCCCUCACAAAGUCAUCUUAGCUAAUUAGGUCAUGUGCUUUGCAAUUUUUUGUUUAUUAACUAUUAACAAAUACAUUUUGUUGAGACAUCUAUCACUGAGGUUGCUUACUGUCUCUGACUUGCUGAUACGAAAUACUUCCAUAUGCAUUUUUUUAACUAUAUAUUUAAGAAGUCUUUAGUUUUUAAUAGAUCAGCAACAUGUAAAUCUAAUCAUUAUUUUACUUUUAUCUUCUCCCAUCUCUACAUGUUAACUUAUUACACUUUGCAUGUUUUCCUUCUCUUAGAACUAGGGAUAGAAAACAUCAUUUUUUUUUUCUUCCCUUAGGCAGGGUGCAAAAGUUCUAAAUCAGUGCUUCAUAAAUUUGAGCAGGAUUCUGAAUCAGGGGUACUUGUUUGAAAGGUAGAUUUUGGGUCCUGUCCUUAAUGCAGGUGAUGUGGGGAAAAUUUUGAGAAACAGUGCUUGUCAGAAGUGGGUGUUAACAACUACCAGUUCAUAGAAACAAAACGUUCUAAUCUGAAUGUUAGAAUAUAUGUCUUAUUAUUUACAUUUUUGCCAUAUUUUUUUAUAUUUUAGUAUAGUGCUACUCCAUAAAUCAACCAGGAAAAAGUGAGACUUGAUUCUCUAUGAAAGAUGAACGAAGCAGGCACCAUGCAGAAAUCCUGACACCUGAAACUGUUCUCUGGGUUUCUGUGUGAUCCACGGUUAAUUCAUUAUGUUUUCCUUUCUACAUUUUUAAGCUGACCAUGGAGAUAUAUGCAGUCAAAGUUUCCUUGAAAUUUUAAGUGGGGUGUACAAGAAAUAACAGAAGCCCAGCUUUCAUGAAUUAGUGCAAUUUUAUUAGGAAAAAAUUGUUUUUACUAAAGAAAUACAUGAACAUGGGUUAGUAAAAUCAAAGGGUUCUAAAGUCUUAAAAUGAAAACAGUCCCUUGUUUGUUUUUUUAAAAAUAUUUUUUAGUUGUAGAUGGAUACAGUCUUUAUUUACUUAUUUUUAUGUGGUGCUGAGGAUCAAAUCAUGUGUGAGGCAGGCGCUCUACCACUGAGCCACAUUGCAGCCCGGUUCUGU
This is a non-coding RNA of Ictidomys tridecemlineatus (thirteen-lined ground squirrel), 1433 nucleotides long. The record is from RefSeq and is a predicted model, not a curated record. Lineage: Eukaryota; Metazoa; Chordata; Mammalia; Rodentia; Sciuridae.